AGAGACGCAAGCCUUCUCAACAGUUGGCGUCAUGUAGGGUAGAGGUUGUGAAAAGGGGUCUCCACCGAAUCUCUUCUCCUCCAGUUAUUUUCUGGGACACUGCACAAUAAAACUUUAUUUGACGGCAGAACAUUCAGAGGCUGUAAGCUUGACACAUGGCAAAAUGCUUCUGCUGUUUCUGAGUCUCGGUUUGUUCACUUCUAAUGUCCAGUCAGAAAAACAAGGGGUUAAUGUAACGUGUGAAAAUCAAUCGGUUGUAGCAGGACAGAACCACAACCUGACAUGUAGAGUGGAUUACAGUGAUGCAUAUCAGAAUAAGACGGGUGAUGUAGGUAACAGUGAGACGGGAUGUAAAACUGAACAGUAUUUCUGGAAGGAUAAAUCAAAAACUCCAAUACGAAAUUGUGAUUGUACAAAAGAUUGUAACACUACGAUAACAACCAACACCUACUUUUGUGAGAUCAAAAAUGUUACCAACGCUGAUGAGGGAAACUAUACUUUUACCAUUAACACAGACUGUGGCAACGGACAUGGCACAUUGAAUGUUUCUGUUACAUUGAGAAAUGAAAAACAAGCGUUUCUGGGAUCGUCAGGUCACCUAUCGUCAGUAUCAUCACUGUUCUGGGUGUUCUACUGUUUCGCAUCUUAAGACUUAAUAGUUCCUUGAGAAACAAUGACAAAGCUACCAGAGAGGCCCUAAACCAGAAGCCUGCAUAACUUUCAAUCUGGAGGAGCUGUGUGUGUUGGUUCUACAAUCCUUGUGGGGACAGAAAAAUCUAAUUUACACAAGUAGUCAAACUCCUAAGUCAAUACUUUGUGGAAGCUAUUUUGGCAUUGAUUACAGCUGUGAGUCUGUCUGGGUACGUCUCUAAGUCAAUACUUUGUAGAAGCUCCUUUUGCAUUGAUUACAGCUGUGAGUCUGUCUGGGUACGUCUCUAAGAGAUUUCCACAUCUGGAUUGUUCAACAUUUCCCCAUUAUUCUUUUCUAAAUUCUUCAAGCUCUACCAAAUUGGCUGUUGAUCAUAGCUAGAGAACCAUUUUCAGAUCUUGCCAUAGAUUGACUGUCUUCUUGGCAACUCUAGUGUAGAUUUGGCCAUGGUUUAUUGUCCAGUUGAAAGGUGAAUUCAUCUCCCAGCAUCUAGUGUAUUGGAUUUGCCUACAAAAUAACACUUUGUAUUCAGGUCAAAAACUGAAUUACUUUGCCAUGUUUUUUGCAGUGCUACAAUAGUGCCCUGUUUCAAACAUGAUGCAUGUUUUGGAAUAUUUUUAUUCUGUACAGGCUUCCUGUUCACUCUGUCAAUUAUUAUUAUUUAUUUACCUUUAUU
Molecule: long non-coding RNA, 1325 nt
Organism: Oncorhynchus tshawytscha (Chinook salmon)
Lineage: Eukaryota; Metazoa; Chordata; Actinopteri; Salmoniformes; Salmonidae
Exons: 4
Source: RefSeq, a predicted model, not a curated record